GAUGAACGCUAGCGGCAGGCUUAAUACAUGCAAGUCGGGGGCCCAGCAAUGGGACCGGCGAACGGGUGCGUAACACGUAUGCAACCUACCUAUAUCAGGGGGAUAGCCCUAGGAAACUGGGAUUAAUACCGCAUAAUAGAAUUGAUGGCAUCAUUAAUUUUUGAAAGAUUUAUCGGAUAUAGAUGGGCAUGCGUAGGAUUAGCUAGUUGGUAAGGUAACGGCUUACCAAGGCUACGAUCCUUAGGGGCUCUGAGAGGAGUGACCCCCACACUGGCACUGAGAUACGGGCCAGACUCCUACGGGAGGCAGCAGUAGGGAAUAUUGGGCAAUGGAGGCAACUCUGACCCAGCCAUGCCGCGUGCAGGAAGACGGUCCUCUGGAUUGUAAACUGCUUUUGAAUGGGAAGAAUGUGCGGCUUGCGAGCUGUAAUGACGGUACCAUUAGAAUAAGCCACGGCUAACUACGUGCCAGCAGCCGCGGUAAUACGUAGGUGGCGAGCGUUAUCCGGAUUUAUUGGGUUUAAAGGGUGCGUAGGCGGCUUUAUAAGUCGGUGGUUAAAGGUAGCAGCUCAACUGUUUUACAUGCCACCGAUACUGUAGAGCUUGAGUUAUUUGGAGGCAGCUAGAAUUUCCGGUGUAGCGGUGAAAUGCUUAGAUACCGGAAGGAAUACCGAUUGCGAAGGCAGGUUGCUACGAAUUUACUGACGCUGAUGCACGAAAGCGUGGGGAUCAAACAGGAUUAGAUACCCUGGUAGUCCGCGCAGUAAACGAUGAUUACUAGUUGUUGGAGGUAACUUCAGUGACCAAGGGAAACCGAUAAGUAAUCCACCUGGGGAGUACGCCGGCAACGGUG
This 852-nucleotide ribosomal RNA is filed under the name uncultured bacterium. RNAcentral describes it as "bacterial SSU rRNA". It matches the Rfam family "Bacterial small subunit ribosomal RNA", at positions 28 to 896 of the family's 1533-position model. The record is from RNAcentral.